This 3119-nucleotide ribosomal RNA is filed under the name Streptomyces sp. 70. RNAcentral describes it as "bacterial LSU rRNA". It matches the Rfam family "Bacterial large subunit ribosomal RNA". Lineage: Bacteria; Bacillati; Actinomycetota; Actinomycetes; Kitasatosporales; Streptomycetaceae. The record is from RNAcentral.
GUGGCCAAGUUUUUAAGGGCGCACGGUGGAUGCCUUGGCACCAGGAACCGAUGAAGGACGUGGGAGGCCACGAUAGGCCCCGGGGAGUCGUCAACCAGGCUUUGAUCCGGGGGUGUCCGAAUGGGGAAACCCGGCAGUCGUCAUGGGCUGUCACCCAUACCUGAACACAUAGGGUAUGUGGAGGGAACGCGGGGAAGUGAAACAUCUCAGUACCCGCAGGAAGAGAAAACAACCGUGAUUCCGGGAGUAGUGGCGAGCGAAACCGGAUGAGGCUAAACCGUAUGCGUGUGAGACCCGGCAGGGGUUGCGUAUACGGGGUUGUGGGAGUGUGCUUGAUCGGUCUGCCGGCCGGUCGGAGAGUCAGAAACCGUUGAUGUAGGCGAAGGACAUGCGAAAGGUCCGGCGUAGAGGGUAAGACCCCGUAGUCGAAACAUCAGCGGCUCUCUUGCGUAUUUCCCAAGUAGCACGGGGCCCGAGAAAUCCCGUGUGAAUCUGGCGGGACCACCCGCUAAGCCUAAAUAUUCCCUGGUGACCGAUAGCGGAUAGUACCGUGAGGGAAUGGUGAAAAGUACCCCGGGAGGGGAGUGAAAUAGUACCUGAAACCGUGUGCCUACAAGCCGUGGGAGCGUCGGAAUGUGCUUGCACAUUCUCGUGACUGCGUGCCUUUUGAAGAAUGAGCCUGCGAGUUUGCGGUGUGUUGCGAGGUUAACCCGGGUGGGGUAGCCGUAGCGAAAGCGAGUCCGAAUAGGGCGUUUCAGUAGCACGCUCAAGACCCGAAGCGGAGUGAUCUAGCCAUGGGCAGGUUGAAGCGGAGGUAAGACUUCGUGGAGGACCGAACCCACCAGGGUUGAAAACCUGGGGGAUGACCUGUGGUUAGGGGUGAAAGGCCAAUCAAACUCCGUGAUAGCUGGUUCUCCCCGAAAUGCAUUUAGGUGCAGCGUCGUGUGUUUCUUGCCGGAGGUAGAGCACUGGAUAGGCGAUGGGCCCUACCGGGUUACUGACCUUAGCCAAACUCCGAAUGCCGGUAAGUGAGAGCGCGGCAGUGAGACUGUGGGGGAUAAGCUCCAUGGUCGAGAGGGAAACAGCCCAGAGCAUCGACUAAGGCCCCUAAGCGUACGCUAAGUGGGAAAGGAUGUGGAGUCGCAGAGACAACCAGGAGGUUGGCUUAGAAGCAGCCACCCUUGAAAGAGUGCGUAAUAGCUCACUGGUCUAGUGAUUCCGCGCCGACAAUGUAGCGGGGCUCAAGCGUACCGCCGAAGUCGUGUCAUUGCAGUAAUACUCCCAACGGAGGCUGUGAUGGGUAGGGGAGCGUCGUGUGCCGGGUGAAGCAGCGCCGGAAGGCAGUUGUGGACGGUUCACGAGUGAGAAUGCAGGCAUGAGUAGCGAUUCACACGUGAGAAACGUGUGCGCCGAUUGACUAAGGGUUCCUGGGUCAAGCUGAUCUGCCCAGGGUAAGUCGGGACCUAAGGCGAGGCCGACAGGCGUAGUCGAUGGAUAACCGGUUGAUAUUCCGGUACCCGCUGUGAAGCGUCAAACAUCGAACCAGGCGAUGCUAAGUCCGUGAAGCCGCCCCGGAGCCUUCGGGCAAAGGGGAGUGGUGGAGCCGACGGACCAGACCUGUAGUAGGUGAGUGAUGGGGUGACGCAGGAAGGUAGUCCAGCCCGGGCGGUGGUUGUCCCGGGGUAAGGGUGUAGGCCGGUGUGUAGGCAAAUCCGCACACCUUGUGGCUGAGACCUGAUGCCGAGCCGAUUGUGGUGAAGUGGAUGAUCCUAUGCUGUCGAGAAAAGCCUCUAGCGAGUUUCAUGGCGGCCCGUACCCUAAACCGACUCAGGUGGUCAGGUAGAGAAUACCGAGGCGUUCGGGUGAACUAUGGUUAAGGAACUCGGCAAAAUGCCCCCGUAACUUCGGGAGAAGGGGGGCCACACCUGGUGAUGGGCUUUACGUCUUGAGCUGGGGGUGGCCGCAGAGACCAGCGAGAAGCGACUGUUUACUAAAAACACAGGUCCGUGCGAAGCCGUAAGGCGAUGUAUACGGACUGACGCCUGCCCGGUGCUGGAACGUUAAGGGGACCGGUUAGCUUGGAUUCGUCCAGGCGAAGCUGAGAACUUAAGCGCCAGUAAACGGCGGUGGUAACUAUAACCAUCCUAAGGUAGCGAAAUUCCUUGUCGGGUAAGUUCCGACCUGCACGAAUGGCGUAACGACUUCUCGACUGUCUCAACCAUAGGCCCGGUGAAAUUGCACUACGAGUAAAGAUGCUCGUUUCGCGCAGCAGGACGGAAAGACCCCGGGACCUUUACUACAGUUUGAUAUUGGUGUUCGGUUCGGCUUGUGUAGGAUAGCUGGGAGACUGUGAAGCUUGGACGCCAGUUCAGGUGGAGUCGUCGUUGAAAUACCAGUCUGGUCGUGCUGGAUGUCUAACCUGGGUCCGUGAUCCGGAUCAGGGACAGUGUCUGAUGGGUAGUUUAACUGGGGCGGUUGCCUCCUAAAGGGUAACGGAGGCGCCCAAAGGUUCCCUCAGCCUGGUUGGCAAUCAGGUGUUGAGUGUAAGUGCACAAGGGAGCUUGACUGUGAGACCGACGGGUCGAGCAGGGACGAAAGUCGGGACUAGUGAUCCGGCGGUGGCUUGUGGAAGCGCCGUCGCUCAACGGAUAAAAGGUACCCCGGGGAUAACAGGCUGAUCUUCCCCAAGAGUCCAUAUCGACGGGAUGGUUUGGCACCUCGAUGUCGGCUCGUCGCAUCCUGGGGCUGGAGUCGGUCCCAAGGGUUGGGCUGUUCGCCCAUUAAAGCGGUACGCGAGCUGGGUUUAGAACGUCGUGAGACAGUUCGGUCCCUAUCCGCUGUGCGCGCAGGAGUCUUGAGAAGGGCUGUCCCUAGUACGAGAGGACCGGGACGGACGAACCUCUGGUGUGCCAGUUGUCCUGCCAAGGGCAUGGCUGGUUGGCUACGUUCGGGAGGGAUAACCGCUGAAAGCAUCUAAGCGGGAAGCCUGCUUCGAGAUGAGGACUCCCACCCACUUGAUGGGGUAAGGCUCCCAGUAGACGACUGGGUUGAUAGGCCGGAUCUGGAAGCACCGCAAGGUGUGGAGGUGACCGGUACUAAUAGGCCGAGGGCUUGUCCUC